This 468-nucleotide ribosomal RNA is filed under the name uncultured bacterium. Its description in RNAcentral is "partial 16S ribosomal RNA". It matches the Rfam family "Bacterial small subunit ribosomal RNA", at positions 28 to 507 of the family's 1533-position model. The record is from RNAcentral.
GACGAACGCUGGCGGCGUGCCUAACACAUGCAAGUCGAACGGAAAGGCCCUGCUUUUGUGGGGUGCUCGAGUGGCGAACGGGUGAGUAACGCGUGAGUAACCUGCCCUUGACUUUGGGAUAACUUCAGGAAACUGGGGCUAAUACCGGAUAGGAGCUCCUGCUGCAUGGUGGGGGUUGGAAAGUUUCGGCGGUUGGGGAUGGACUCGCGGCUUAUCAGCUUGUUGGUGGGGUAGUGGCUUACCAAGGCUUUGACGGGUAGCCGGCCUGAGAGGGUGACCGGCCACAUUGGGACUGAGAUACGGCCCAGACUCCUACGGGAGGCAGCAGUGGGGAAUAUUGCACAAUGGGCGGAAGCCUGAUGCAGCAACGCCGCGUGCGGGAUGACGGCCUUCGGGUUGUAAACCGCUUUCGCCUGUGACGAAGCGUGAGUGACGGUAAUGGGUAAAGAAGCACCGGCUAACUACGUG